Long non-coding RNA from Aethina tumida (small hive beetle), 399 nucleotides. RefSeq lists it as uncharacterized. The transcript has 2 exons. The record is from RefSeq and is a predicted model, not a curated record. Lineage: Eukaryota; Metazoa; Arthropoda; Insecta; Coleoptera; Nitidulidae.
CCAAAAGUAAACGUUUAAAAGUAGAAAAUAAAGUAAACUGGAUUCAGUUUCAAUUGAACAUUUUGCCAAUCGACUCUUCGGUGAUACAUUCCUUUUUACAAAAUGACGUUGAUUUUGUGGCCCACACCAAGUUAUGGUCUGACACCAAAUUUCUAUCCCAGAACAAAAUAUUUAUUAAAAGGGAAAUUCUUCCAUCCGAAUCGCAUGCAAAAAUUGGUGGAACCAAGAACAACCGAAAUUGUAUUGCAACCCCAACUGGGACCUAUGUACAGAGUAGAACGAUUAUUUUAUAACGACAAACCGACGAAAAGUUCAUUAAGACAAUUGCGUUUAAGACAUAAUCUUUAUAGAUGUUAGGUAUAAAAUAUUUAACUAAUUAAUAAAAUUAUCAAUUUUUAA